AGUCGGCGGAGGAGGAUGAUGAUGAUGAUGAUGAUGAUGAGGAUGGGGAUGAAGAGCGCCCGGCCCGGCCGAUGUUCCUCAGGGAUUACGAGCGGAAGGUGGUGCUGGAGAAGGAAGGGAAAUUCGUGGACGAGGAGGAUGAGGAGGAUGAGGAGGCGGCGGCCAAGAGGAGGAAGGCCGAGGCCUCCCCCAGCUACGCCGAGGAGCAGCGGGCGCUGAAGGAGAGGUGAGGGGGGGUCCCGGGGGGCUUUGGGGGGCUCCGGGAUUUUGGGGAGCCCCAGGGGGUGACCCUGGACCCCCCCCACCCCCCCCGCAGCUUCAGAGCCUUCGUGGAGGAGGAAGAGGAGGAGGAGGAGGAGGAGGAAGGGGGGGGAGGGGCCCUGCUCAGACCUCGGAUCCGGAGCCGCGAGGAGAAGGUGAGGGGGGUCCCGGGGGGGGUUUGGGGGUCCCUCAGGGAGGUUUGGGGGUCCAGGAGGGGUCCUGGGGGGGAGAUUUUGGGGUCCCGGGGAGGUUUGGGGGUCCUGGGAGGGUCCUGGGGAGGUUUGGAGGUCCCGGGAGGGAGAUUUUGGGGUCCUGGGGAGGUUUGGGGGUCCUUGGGGGCGGUUUGGGGGUCCCUGGGUGGGUUUUGGGGGUCUCUGGGUGGGUUUUGGGGGUCCUUGGGUGGGUUUUUGGGUCCCUGGGUGUGUUUUGGGGGUCCCAGGGGGUCCCUGGGUGGGUUUUGGGGGUCCCUGGGUGGGUUUUGGGGGUCCCUGUGUGGGUUUUGGGGGUCCCUGGGUGGGUUUUGGGGGUCCCUGGGGAGGUUUUGGGGGGUCCCUGACUGCGUUUUGGGGUCCCCCCAGGCCCAGGAGGAGGAUCAGUACCUGCGCUGGCUGCGGGGCCAGGCCGAGCCCCCCCCGGAGCCUCUGCAGGACCUGGAGCCGCUGCAGAAGUUCUGGUCGGACCCGGGGCUGGAGCCGGGCGAGCGAUUCCUGCGGGAUUUCCUGCUGGGAUGCGGCCAGGAGGAGGAGGAGGAGGGGGAGGAAGGGUGAGAGGGACCCCCAGACCCCUCCCCAGUAUGGCUGCAGCCCCCCCAAAUCCUCUGGGCCCCCCCCAAACCUCCUGGAGCCCCCCCAAAUCCUCUGGAGCCCCCCAAACCCUCCCUGGACACCCCCUGGGAGCCGCUCCUGGAGCAGCCUCGGGAUGAGGAGUGGGGACCCCCAGGGACCCCCCCGGACCCCCAAAAGGGGACCAGGACCCCCAGGCCCCUCCAGAGCCCCCCCAAACCCCCCAGGGCCCCCCUGGAGGACUCCUCGGACGAGGGGGAGCAGUUCCUGCAGCGGCAGCAGGACUUCGAGCGCCGCCACAAUUUCCGCUUCGAGGAGCCGGGGGCGGCCCAGGUGGGGGCGGGGGAAAUUCGGGGGGUGGGGGGCGAAAAUUGGGGG
This 1421-nucleotide long non-coding RNA is filed under the name Taeniopygia guttata (zebra finch). RNAcentral describes it as "lncRNA (ENSTGUG00000019428.1)". Lineage: Eukaryota; Metazoa; Chordata; Aves; Passeriformes; Estrildidae. The record is from RNAcentral.